AGAGUUUGAUCCUGGCUCAGAACGAACGCUGGCGGCGUGCCUAACACAUGCAAGUCGGACGAGAAACUCCGCCGCAAGGCGGGGCGGUACAGUGGCGAACGGGUGAGUAACACGUGGGUAACCUGCCCUUCAGAGGUGGAUAAUUCGCCGAAAGGCGGACUAAUACACCGUAAGACCACAGGUCGCAUGAUCAGGGGUUAAAGAUGCCUUGAAGCAAUUCAGGGUAUCGCUGGAGGAGGGGCCCGCGGCCUAUCAGCUUGUUGGUAGGGUAACGGCCUACCAAGGCAAUGACGGGUAGCUGGUCUAAGAGGAUGAUCAGCCACACUGGAACUGACACACGGUCCAGACUCCUACGGGAGGCAGCAGUGGGGAAUAUUGCGCAAUGGGCGAAAGCCUGACGCAGCGACGCCGCGAGAGCGAAGAAGGCCUUCGGGUUGUAAAGCUCUGUCAGGGGGAAAGAUGUCCUGACAGCCUCAUACGCUGUCAGGGUGACGGUACCUCCAAAGGAAGCGCCGGCCAACUCCGUGCCAGCAGCCGCGGUAAAACGGAGGGCGCAAGCGUUGUUCGGAAUAACUGGGUGUAAAGGGCGCGUAGGCGGCUAUGUAAGUCCGAUGUGAAAUCCCUCCGCUCAACGGAGGAAGUGCAUUGGAUACUGCGUGGCUAGAGUACGGGAGAGGGAGAUGGAAUUCCCGGUGUAGAGGCGAAAUUCGUAGAUAUCGGGAGGAACACCCGUGGCGAAGGCGGUCUCCUGGAACGAUACUGACGCUGAAGCACGAAAGCGUGGGGAGCAAACAGGAUUAGAUACCCUGGUAGUCCACGCCGUAAACGAUGGUCACUAGGUGUCCCUUGGUAUACAGGGGGUGCCGAAGCUAACGCAUUAAGUGACUCACCUGGGGAGUACGGCCGCAAGGCUAAAACUCAAAGGAAUUGACGGGGGCCCGCACAAGCGGUGGAGCAUGUGGUUCAAUUCGACGCUACGCGAGGAACCUUACCUGGGCUUGACAUGCUGGUGGUAGCAAACCGAAAGGGGAGCGACUCCGCAAGGGGAGCCAGCACAGGUGCUGCAUGGCUGUCGUCAGCUCGUGUCGUGAGAUGUCGGGUUAAGUCCUACAACGAGCGCAACCCUUACCCUCUGUUGCCACUCCGGAAACGGAAGCACUCUGAGGGAACUGCCUCUGUAAGGAGGAGGAAGGUGGGGAUGACGUCAAGUCCUCAUGGCCUUUAUGCUCAGGGCGACACACGUGCUACAAUGGUCGGUACAGAGGGCUGCAAACCUGCGAGGGGGAGCGAAUCCCAGAAAACCGACCUCAGUUGGGAUUGGAGGCUGCAACCCGCCUCCAUGAACGCGGAAUCGCUAGUAAUCGCGCAUCAGCACGGUGCGGUGAAUACGUUCUCGGGCCUUGUACACACCGCCCGUCACACCACGAAAGCCUGUUAUACCAGAAGUUCAGCCUCGUGUUGACCGAAGGUAUGGCCGGUGAUUGGGGUGAAGUCGUAACAAGGUAACC
RNAcentral lists this ribosomal RNA (1508 nucleotides) under uncultured bacterium. Its description in RNAcentral is "bacterial SSU rRNA". It matches the Rfam family "Bacterial small subunit ribosomal RNA". The record is from RNAcentral.